UGUUUCAGCGAUGUCACAGUCUGAAUGUCAGGUUGUCAGGUGACAGUUUAGCUUUAAAUCUGGUUCCACAUCCAGCCAACUCCUGUACUUUGAAUUCAACGCAACAAGCACAGAAAAUCCACUUUCACAAGAGUAUGUGGUGGUGAACGUGUAACCAGAUGCCAGUCAGAUUUCGCUGCAUGAAGACUAACUUUAAAGAGCUGUCACAUGUAAGCGCUGUUAGACUGUCUUCCUCCUUUGAUGUCAAGUUCAUGUGCAUUUCACUGUCAGCGUUCACGAAUGGGUUUCUAAUCCACUUGUUUUCUGAGUUGUUUCUAGGUUGCAUCGAAGAUUAGCUAGCUUCAAAGUUUCGUUCGACAACACCUCGUAACAUACAACAUGCAGAGGUCGCGGCUCAUCUUCGCUACCGGUCCAAGUAAAUCCCAUUUCCCAGCAACCUGCUGCAAUAGCGUCAGCAAACCUGGUCCUGCAGGCCUCCAGGUCCAAUAGAAAGCUUGCCAACUGAGAAUAUUCCACUGCAGAUUUCACUGGAAUAAUGACUGCUGUGAGUUGGAAUGUAAUUUGUAUUCAUUGUUUUCCAGCACUUCGCUGUCCCUUCCCCCUGCAGGCAGCUCCAGUAUUCGCCAAGUUAUAAAUAAAUGGAAUACUGUGAUAAGGAGAGAAAGGAUCGAUGUUGUAAAUCUCCCUCCCGAUCAGAAAGGACGCUUUGUAUGGUGGGUGGUAUGCUGCCUCCUAGAUGGACCACCUUGAUGAGGAGCAGUAGGAGCGAGAGGCUGUAGCCCCGGAGCCAGCACUAACCCCGGAGCACACCCCUCACAGCACAGCACAGCACAGCGCACUCACCACGAUCCCUGGAAGAAAGGAGCACAGUUUUGUGCACAGAGGAUUGUGGUCAAGGAGUCUUUUCUUUUGUUUAUCCAGAGACUGGAAAGUUAUUGUUUUACCCCAAUACCAUAGUUGGCAGAGGGGUGGAUUCUUCUUCUUCUUCUUCUUCUUCUUCUUC
Molecule: long non-coding RNA, 1003 nt
Organism: Acipenser ruthenus (sterlet)
Lineage: Eukaryota; Metazoa; Chordata; Actinopteri; Acipenseriformes; Acipenseridae
Exons: 4
Source: RefSeq, a predicted model, not a curated record